Molecule: ribosomal RNA, 209 nt
Filed under: Pelobates cultripes (western spadefoot toad)
Lineage: Eukaryota; Metazoa; Chordata; Amphibia; Anura; Pelobatidae
Description: SSU_rRNA_eukarya
Rfam family: Eukaryotic small subunit ribosomal RNA
Source: RNAcentral
GUUCCCGGAGGAGAUCACUCAGCUCGUCAUGCUAGAACACUUUUUCAAUGUGCUCCCCAACGAAAAGGCGACGACGCAUUCGUAUGUCAAUCCAUAUCAACUUUCGAUGCCAUUUACUGCGUCUACCAUGGUGACCACGGGUAACGAGGAGUCAGGGUUCAAUUCCGUACAGGGACCCUGACAAACGGCUACCACAUGCAAGGAAGGCA